UUUUUUUUUUUUUUUUUGCAAUACAUUGUCAUUAUUCCUUUGGGAAGGAACAUCAAUAGGUGGAACUAACUCAGUUAUCUCAUCAGCAUAUUAUCUCAACAGGUUGCACUUAUAAUGAGUCUUUCUUCCUCCAAAGUGGAGCAAGUCAUGCUAAGUGACUGAAAUUGUGCUCAAGAGUUUAGCACACUGGCUGCCCUGCCAACCUUGCUGUGGAACAUAUAUACAGUCCAGCACGUGAUUUUUCUUCUUUGCAUUUCAAUAUCAGCAGAGACAAAAAGGGGAGUGGAUGAUAAUUCAAACAAAUUGACAUCAAAUUGGACUGGGGUGGAAAGGAAGCAACUGAAUGGGGAAAUAAAUAGCAUGAGUCCAAAUCCAACAAAGCUCAUCCAUCAUGCUACCUAUAGACCCUGAAUUCACUCAUUUCCAUACCAUGCAAGGAUUUUAUUUGUUGACGUGUCAGCAAAUGAAGCAUUCCUGCUAUCAGGGAGUAAUUUUCUGGGAUAAGACCAGAAUAUGAGAUAGUAGUUGGUGGAAUAAACAGAAAAGUUCCUUAAAUGGGUUGACUAUGAAGUCAUGUUUAGUUAUCUACUCACGUCUGUAUGUCUGCUAUGUACCAAGCAAGAAGCCAGGCGCUGAGGAUCCUGAAAUAAGGCUCAACCCCUUAAGGAUCCUAAAGUCUAGUGGGAAAGGUCAAGAGACAGCAGAGCAGUAGUCUGUUCAGUGUGGUGGCCUUAUGCACAGGUUACUGGCAGGAAGUCAGAUGGUCUGGGAGAACACUGCGGGGCUGUCUUGUUAAGAUGGCAUGGCUAAUAAGACACAUGCAGGCUGCAUCUAGAAGGAUGACUAGACUCUCAAGAGAAGAAAGGAGGAAAAAGUAAAUAAAAAAACUUAAGCCCCUUAUCGAGUUUGAUGAAUUAGGAGAGUUUGGUAGCCUGGAGCACAGUGAGAUUCACUGAGGACAUGGGUGGGGGCCAGAAUUAGGGAGGCUUUGAGUACUAAGCUGAGUGUGAGCUAGUGUUCUAAAAGCUAUAGGAGAGCCUUUGAAGAUGUUGUGCUCCCCACAUUACCCUGUAAAAAGGGUGGAUCUUUUACCCGCAUUUUACGGAAGGCACAAGAGGAUUCCAGAGAGCAAGUGCAUUGCCUCAGGGGACCGCCCAGAUGCAGAGUCUGCGCACACCGACCCUCUGUCAUGCUCUUUCCUUCAUGGGAAUUUAGAUCCUGACUGUCCUUCUCAAGCCUUCCAGGCUGCUGAAGAAUUGAUUAUGCGAGAGCAGAUGAGCUCCUUGGCUUAAUUAUUUAAAGAUUGCUUGCUGUUUUCAACGUUUUAUUUUUCCUCAAACUGUAGACAGAAAGUGUGUGUGUGUGUGUGUGUGUGUGUGUGUGUGUGUGUGUUUGGCGGGGGAGGAGGAGGGGUGGCUGUGGUGGUAAAGAUUUAGCUCAGGAACUUUUCGGCUUUGCCUGUAUAAAAUUCACCUAAUAAGAAUGCAUAGAGUCAAAUUUCCAGCAAGUCAGUAAGGGUUCCUAAAAUGUUUGAAAGUCCACCAGUGCUUUCUUACCAAGUGACAAUGUAUCUUAAAGGAGGUUAAAAAAACAAAAAAUAUCUCCUUACUGCAUGAGUGUGAUACCGGCUUACUAAAACCUCCUUGGAUUUCACCAUUGUACAUUUAUACUACUCUUGAUGUAUCUAUCCGCUGGUUUUCUUUGCUCUGUUGGAGUGGCAGGAUUUACUCCAGACCAGUUUUUGCCUAAUUCUGUGUGUACCAAAGCUACUUACACAAUGUUGGUAUUCCGUACCUGCUAAAACAAAAACAAAAUUCCCGUAAUGGCCCACUUCACUUUCUGUGGGUAGACAGUGCUCUCCAGGGGAUUAUUCACUUCUUCUAAAGAAGCUUUUGUUCUUGAGAUGCUGAAUACAUUCCUAUUCAUGUUAGAGUUGGCCAACUACCUUGUUGGCUAUGAAAUGCUAAGUCAGGGUCUUCAUUAAGUUAAUUCUGCUUCCCCCUUCAUAAUUUAGUAUUUAGAGAGUUUACCAAUAUUUCCAACUAUCUAAGUGAAAAUCUCUAAGUAACCACCUCAUCUGACUUUUAUAUUUCUAAAGUGGAUGUUCAUUUUAAUGCAUUCACCCCUUCAUAAAUAUUGUUUUUACUGGUGUACAAAGCAAAAUGUAAGAUUCAUUCAUCCAUUUGUUCAUCCAUAGUAAUAAAUUUCCUACAGUGUAUUAGAUACUGUAUCUGACACUGGAGAUAAAAUGGAAAGGAAGACAAAAAAAUCUUCUUUGCCCUUAUGGAGUUUGCAGCACCCACACUACUCAUAGUUUAUUGAAUCACAAGUUCUUUUCCAAAACCUGGCAUGAAAAUCCAUUUGGUCAGAAUUAAGGGUGUUGGCACCAUCAUCCUCUACAGGGAGCUGAGAAGUCUCAGCUCAUAUGGAAGGGGGCUGUGGAUCUCUCCUUGGUCCUGAGAAUCCCUUUCUCCAGUGCCACCACUGUCUCAGCUGUGAGAAAUACUGCCCUGCUCCUGCUCUGCUCCAGGUGCAGGCAGCACUCUUUUCCUAGAUUCUGUAAACCACAACUGGGACAGGCCGCAGUAUUUGACUCCUCUGGAAUCAAAGAUGGGGAGACCCAAUGCCUCCUGGCUAUGGAUGCUCAGAGAGGACAUAGGCCUUGGUCGCCCCUCAUGGGGGUCCCUCCAGGGCUUCCUCCCAGUCAGAGGUGACCUUGGUUUUAAGAUCCUUAAGUAAGACUAGAAUUCUGAGCCCAAAGCAAAGAGAACCUUGAGAAAAACGUCCCUCUCUUCGUUCCAAGGCUGAUCUCCUUGGUCUUUAAUUUCUCAGUCAAAGUCUAGUUUAUCCCAAGAUGAUUGGCACUUGGACUCAUGAUCUGGCGGAGAGGCUCUGUGUUCUAUCCAAAGGGGUGUGGCCCUGACCAUGUACGGCCAACUGCAGAAGCACUUUUAGGCACAGUGGCCCAACAAUGGUAAAUGGCAUCCUACAGCAAGAUGGCCAUUUCAUUACGGCUCUCUUGGGCUCCAAGAGAUGCUAGGGGAUGUGAAUUCUCUCCAGCGUCGGGAUUUCCAGUUUCUCUUGUGUGAAUAGUUGGUCUUUCCUCAAAACCUCAUUGUUUCCUACUCCUCCCUAUUAAAGGGUACCCUCAACUGGCUGCUCAGUGUCUCAGACCAUGCUUGAAAGGAAGUCAUCCUUGGCAGCCAGUGAUUUUCUAAAGCAAACAUCUUUCUCGUCUUUCUCCUCUCACCUCACCCAUGUCCCCUAGUGGUCUUUCUUUGCUUUCUGAAGCCUGGCUUAUGCAGCAGCCACAAGUGACAGGGGCUGAAUAUAAGCAACUUUGUGCAAUGGGGAGGAAAUCUUUGUGGUACUACGAUACACCCAAGACCUCCUAGCCCACACCAGUUCACAUCUGUAUUACACACUGGGAACAUCUUUAUCCACACUUAUGGCUCAUCCAUUCUUGUUUUGGUUUAGAGUCUUAUCUCCCUAAAAUCUACCUUGGGUCCCAGGCCCUUUUGCCAAGAUCUCCACACUCAAAAAUUUUGUGUAAGGGAAAUAUUUUUAGAUGUGGGAAACUACUUUUAAUAGACAGCUAUGUGGGUGCCUGCAAAUUUAAAGUACAUUCAACAAAUAUUUUUGUCCACCUACUUUACACCAAGAGUGUACAGAUGCAGAGGCUAGCACAGUGAAAAUAAUAGGCAUGGUGUCAGCUCUAGUAGAGCCUGAAAUUGGCUGGAGAACACAGACAUUAAAUAAAGAGCUACAUGAGUGUUGAAUGUUACAAAAGGCAAGAUUCAAGGUACUACAGAUGCAAACAGUGGGAGGGUUUAACCUAAUCUGGGGGAUUUGAGGAUGUUUUGUUUAACUCUACCACUGUCUGAUUUAAUGACUCUGAGCAAACUGUUUCAGCUUUCUGUAAUUAAGAGCAGUUCUUUUUACUUCCUCUUUCUCAAGCCCUCCCUGCUCUAGCCAAGGCUCCCAAGUCUAUGAGCUGUAAUGACAGGGGAAAUUGCUGGCAACAGCAAUAAGCUUGGCUGUAGGGAGCAAACAUAUGGAACAAAGGACAGAGGAGCCAUAGAAUUAACUCCAGAGCAUCAAGUGGGGAAUGGAGAAAAGACUUGUAACCUUUCUGCCCAUAGAGGGCAGACGGUAACCUCCAUGAUAGACAUUCCAUCUGUCUUGUUUAUUACUCUAAGUCUGGUACUUAGCACAGUGACCCUCAAAUAUUCAUAGAAUGAACAGAGGGCUGACCACUAUCACUGUCUAUGCCUGACUCUUAAAGUUAGGGUGGAGCCGUUUUGGGAACAGAGGAAGGAAAUGAUGCCUCCAUCAGUGGAGUACAUCAGUGGGUAGAUCAGGUAACCACUGCCUCCCUAGGGUGGAACACUCCAUGGACCACCAGGUUGUGUUCAUCCACCCUUUCUAUAAGAACUCUAGUUCUCCAGCCCCAACAAGUAUCUGGUCCCGUGAUGAUGCCAUGGACCCACAACAAAAUGUGAGACAGCUGCAUCCACUUAGAGAGACUCAGAUGAAAGUCAUCCUGUGUGUCCAUCCCUCACUUAUGGUUUUCCAUUUCAUCUCCUCUAACCUCCCCCUUCCUGAGCUACCUUCUUUAUUUUUUUUUAAUUUAAUGAUUUAAUUUUUUUCCGUUAUAGUUGAUGUACAGUGUUCUGUCAAUCUUCUACUAUACAGCAAAGUGACCCAGUUGCACAAACAUACACACACAUAUAUAUAUAUAUAUGUAUUCUUUUUUUCAUAUUAUCCUCCAGCAUGUUCCAUCACAAGUGACUAGAUAUAGUUCCCUAUGCUAUACAUCAGGAUCUCCACUGUAUAUCCACUCCAAAUGCAAUGGUUUGCAUCUUUUAACCCCAGAUUCAUAGUCCAUCCCACUCCCUCCCCCUCCCCCUUGGCAACCACAAGUCUGUUCUCCAAGUCCAUAAGUUUCUUUUCUGUGGAAAGGUUCAUUUGUGCCAUAUAUUAGAUUCUAGAUAUGAGUGAUAUCAUAGGGUAUUUGUCUUUUUCUUUCUGACUUACUUCAGCCUGAAUGUCCAUCAACAGAUGAAUGGAUUAAGAAGAUAUGGUGUAUGUACACAAAGGAAUACUACUCAGCCAUAAAAAGAACAAAAUCAUACCAUUUGCAGCAACAUGGAUGGAACUAGAGACUCUCAUACUGAGUUAUCUACUUUAUAUGUUAUGUUCCAUUGUAGGGCUCUGACUCCACUAAUCCUGCCUGUGGCAUUGGAGUUAGGGAAGUUAUCCAGGUGGCUUAGAGGGGAGGUAGAAAAAGUCACUCUGGCAAGAAAUGUUCAGGUCCCAUCUAGGACUCAGGUCAGCCACAAUAUUCCAAAGCUUACUGAAGUAAGUUAUCCCAGUAUGGGGGUAGCCUAGACUUUCUACACACAUUGUUCCAUAUAUUUGGUCUCUGCAGCCAGACUUACUGCUCUCUAUAUCAUGAGAAGAUUGAGGGAAACAGUUGGCAUGGAAUAGUUUCUGCUCACAGUGGGCUGUGGCUUUGGGAAUUAAAUGAUGGACUAUAGGACAAGGAUAUAAGGGACUGAAACCUCUCUCUGCAGAAGCACCUGGAAGGCCAUCUCAGUAUCUGGUGAAGCUAGCUUGCUGCCACACCCAGCAAAUCAACUUCUCUGAUAAGGAGUCUUGAAAGCAAUUGGGAGUUCUUACCAUCAAAGGGAAUCUUUUGGGCACUUCUUAUAACACAGGUGUUUGUUAAUAGAAAGUUAAUGGUAAAAAAAAUACAUAUAUAUAAGAAAAACACACAAAGAAGCUUUUGUGGGAGAAACAUGUUUUUCUCUAACGCCGCACCCGCCCCUCACCCCAUCAGAGCACUGCCUCUUCUAUGCAUGUCAGAUGUGAUUUCUUCACAUUCUGAGGUCUAGGGAGCUUCAUUUGGGAUGUCUCAGAUAAUGAUUCUACAACUAUGUUCAUUUUAUAUCAGUUUACUAUUUAAUUCCUGUAGGAUUGUGGGUUUCUUAUGGACAGUAUUUUAUUCAUAUUCCCAUCUAUCACAAUUCUUUAUAGAGAGUAGGCCACUGAUAAAUAAAAGGUAGAAUGAUUAAGUGAAUCGACAGAUGGAUAGGUAGUAGAUAUAGCCAUUCUGACUUCUCUGAUCCUUUUUCUCUUCCCCGACCUAGAUUUUUAAAGUAAUCUAAUGAACCCAUCGCUAGUGCCUCACUCUUUGCCUCCAAAGGAUAAAUUAUUUCAGAAUAAAAAUGAUCUUUCUCCAAAUCAAGUGUGACUAAAAUAUCCAGGAGCUUCCAGGCUACUGAGCACCCCUGCCUGGAUCUCAGGAAUUUUAGACCAAUCAAGCAUCUUUCUCCCCAUCUUUUCCCCACCUAUUAAAAUCCUAUUCUUUGAAGUUCCCAUCAUGGUGCAGCAGAAACGAAUCCAACAAGGAACCAUGAGGUUGCCAACUUGAUCCCUGGCCUUGCUUAGUGGGUUAAGGUUCUGGUGUUGCCGUGAAUUGUGGUGUUGGUCACAGAGGAGGCUCGGAUCUGGUGUGGCUGUGGCUGUGGUGUAGGCUGGCAGCUGUAGCUCCGAUUAGAUGCCUAGCCUGGGAACCUCCAUGUGCU
RNAcentral lists this long non-coding RNA (6590 nucleotides) under Sus scrofa (pig). RNAcentral describes it as "lncRNA (ENSSSCG00035004525.1)". The record is from RNAcentral. Lineage: Eukaryota; Metazoa; Chordata; Mammalia; Artiodactyla; Suidae.